Molecule: non-coding RNA, 738 nt
Filed under: Nesophrosyne maritima
Lineage: Eukaryota; Metazoa; Arthropoda; Insecta; Hemiptera; Cicadellidae
Source: RNAcentral
UUUUAAUUAAUUUAUUCAUUGAUCUAUAUGGUUAAAUUAAUGAAUUUAGUUUUAGUUCCAGUAGUAAGAAUUAUAUUAUAUAUUAUUACUUUUGAUUUAGGAAUUGAAUAUGGUUUAUACUGAAAAGUAGAUUUAUAUUUGUGCCAGCAUUCGCGGUUACACAAUUUACUUGAGUUAAUUUUUUUAUUUAUUAAUUUAAUUUAUAUUAAGGUUUAAAGAUAAAUUUAUUUAGGUGGAAUUUAUAAUUUGUUAUAAGGUCUGCAUAUUUGUUUAAGAUAUUUUAUUAAUAAACUAGGAUUAGAUACCCUAUUAUUUUUAUUGUAAAUUUUUUAGAAUGGUAAUAGUUAUGAUCUUUGAGGCUCAAAGAAUUUGGCGGUAAAAUAUCUUCUUAGAGGAAUCUGUAUAUUAAUUGAUACUCCACAAUAGAUUCUACCCUCAAUCUUAUUUGUAUACCGCUAUAUUUUGGAAUGUUACUUAAGUAGACUUUCUUUAAUUCAAUUAAAUUUAUAUUAGGUCAAGGUGCAGUUUUUUGGGGGUUUAUAUGGGUUACUUUUGUUAUAAGUUUUAGGACAGCUAAUUUUAAAAAUUAGCUUGAAUGAGGAUUUAAUAGUAAGUUUAAAUUAAUUUAUUUGACUGAAUUUUGCUAUGUUUUAUGUACAUAUCGCCCGUCACUCCCAAUUAAGUUAGGAUAAGUCGUAACAAAGUAACUUUACCGGAAGGUGAAGUUAGAAUUAGUUA